RNAcentral lists this transfer RNA (73 nucleotides) under Camelus bactrianus (Bactrian camel). It matches the Rfam family "tRNA". Rfam says of the family: Transfer RNA (tRNA) molecules are approximately 80 nucleotides in length. Their secondary structure includes four short double-helical elements and three loops (D, anti-codon, and T loops). RNAcentral also lists the same sequence under 2 other names. The record is from Rfam by way of RNAcentral. Lineage: Eukaryota; Metazoa; Chordata; Mammalia; Artiodactyla; Camelidae.
GAGGAUAUAGCUCAAGUGCUAGAGCACAUGCUUAACAUGCAUGAGGUCCUGGGCUCAAUCCUGAGUAUCUCCU